This 253-nucleotide ribosomal RNA is filed under the name uncultured bacterium. RNAcentral's name for it is "partial 16S ribosomal RNA". It matches the Rfam family "Bacterial small subunit ribosomal RNA", at positions 524 to 776 of the family's 1533-position model. The record is from RNAcentral.
UACGUAGGGGGCAAGCGUUGCCCGGAUUUAUUGGGCGUAAAGAGCGUGUAGGCGGCCUUACAGGUCAGCUGUGAAAACUCGAGGCUCAACCUCGAGACGUCGGUUGAAACCGUAAGGCUAGAGUCCGGAAGAGGAGAGUGGAAUUCUCGGUGUAGCGGUGAAAUGCGCAGAUAUCGGGAAGAACACCCGUGGCGAAGGCGGCGUUCUGGACUGUUUCUGACACUGAAAAACGAAAGCCAGGGGAGCAAACGGG